UACGUAGGGCGCGAGCGUUGUCCGGAAUUAUUGGGCGUAAAGAGCUCGUAGGCGGCUUGUCACGUCGGGUGUGAAAGCCCGGGGCUUAACCCCGGGUCUGCAUUCGAUACGGGCAGGCUAGAGUGUGGUAGGGGAGAUCGGAAUUCCUGGUGUAGCGGUGAAAUGCGCAGAUAUCAGGAAGAGCACCGAUGGCGAAGGCAGGUCUCUGGGCCACUACUGACGCUGAGAAGCGAAAGCGUGGGGAGCAAACGGG
RNAcentral lists this ribosomal RNA (253 nucleotides) under uncultured bacterium. RNAcentral describes it as "partial 16S ribosomal RNA". It matches the Rfam family "Bacterial small subunit ribosomal RNA", at positions 524 to 776 of the family's 1533-position model. The record is from RNAcentral.